ACGGAGAGUUUGAUCCUGGCUCAGGAUGAACGCUGGCGGCGUGCUUAACACAUGCAAGUCGAACGAACCUUCGGGUUAGUGGCGGACGGGUGAGUAACGCGUGGGAAUCUGCCCUCAGGAGGGGGAUAACGGUUGGAAACGGCCGCUAAUACCCCAUAUGCCGAGAGGUGAAAUGAAUUUCGCCUGAGGAUGAGCCCGCGUCUGAUUAGCUAGUUGGUGUAGGUAAUGGCUCACCAAGGCAUCGAUCAGUAGCUGGUCUGAGAGGAUGAUCAGCCACACUGGGACUGAGACACGGCCCAGACUCCUACGGGAGGCAGCAGUGGGGAAUUUUCCGCAAUGGGCGCAAGCCUGACGGAGCAACGCCGCGUGAGGGAUGAAGGCCUCUGGGCUGUAAACCUCUUUUCUCAAGGAAGAAGAUCUGACGGUACUUGAGGAAUAAGCCACGGCUAAUUCCGUGCCAGCAGCCGCGGUAAUACGGGAGUGGCAAGCGUUAUCCGGAAUUAUUGGGCGUAAAGCGUCCGCAGGCGGCUUUUCAAGUCUGCUGUUAAAACGUGGAGCUUAACUCCAUCAAGGCAGUGGAAACUGAUUGGCUUGAGUGUGGUAGGGGCAGAGGGAAUUCCCGGUGUAGCGGUGAAAUGCGUAGAUAUCGGGAAGAACACCAGUGGCGAAGGCGCUCUGCUGGGCCAUAACUGACGCUCAUGGACGAAAGCCAGGGGAGCGAAAGGGAUUAGAUACCCCUGUAGUCCUGGCCGUAAACGAUGAACACUAGGUGUCGGGGGAAUCGACCCCCUCGGUGUCGUAGCCAACGCGUUAAGUGUUCCGCCUGGGGAGUACGCACGCAAGUGUGAAACUCAAAGGAAUUGACGGGGGCCCGCACAAGCGGUGGAGUAUGUGGUUUAAUUCGAUGCAACGCGAAGAACCUUACCAGGGUUUGACAUCCUGCGAAUCUCUUGGAAACGAGAGAGUGCCUUUGGGAACGCAGUGACAGGUGGUGCAUGGCUGUCGUCAGCUCGUGUCGUGAGAUGUUGGGUUAAGUCCCGCAACGAGCGCAACCCACGUUUUUAGUUGCCAGCAUUUAGUUGGGCACUCUAGAGAGACCGCCGGUGAUAAACCGGAGGAAGGUGUGGAUGACGUCAAGUCAUCAUGCCCCUUACAUCCUGGGCUACACACGUACUACAAUGCUACGGACAAAGGGCAGCAAGUUCGCGAGGACAAGCAAAUCCCAUAAACCGUGGCUCAGUUCAGAUCGUAGGCUGCAACUCGCCUACGUGAAGAAGGAAUCGCUAGUAAUCGCAGGUCAGCAUACUGCGGUGAAUACGUUCCCGGGCCUUGUACACACCGCCCGUCACACCAUGGAAGUUGGCCACGCCCGAAGUCGUUACUCCAACCCUUGUGGAGGAGGACGCCGAAGGUGGGGCUGAUGACUGGGGUGAAGUCGUAACAAGGUAUCCGUACCGGAAGGUGCGGAUGGAUCACCUCCU
This 1481-nucleotide ribosomal RNA is filed under the name Prochlorococcus sp. MIT 1303. Its description in RNAcentral is "bacterial SSU rRNA". It matches the Rfam family "Bacterial small subunit ribosomal RNA". Lineage: Bacteria; Bacillati; Cyanobacteriota; Cyanophyceae; Synechococcales; Prochlorococcaceae. The record is from RNAcentral.